GAAUUUUAGCGCAUCUGCUUGCAGAGCGUGACCUCCACUCUAUACACUGUGCACUUAUUGGCAAAUGCGAUAGAUCCUGUUAACGCGGGUGAAUCAAAUUUGCGGCUCACUUUUAAACACCAGUCAAAGAAUGUAUACGAAAUAUCGAAAAAAGAAAAACUUUCAACAACGGAUCUCUUGGCUCU
RNAcentral lists this unclassified non-coding RNA (185 nucleotides) under rhizosphere metagenome. RNAcentral's name for it is "partial ribosomal RNA internal transcribed spacer region". The record is from RNAcentral.